This is a long non-coding RNA of Carassius gibelio (silver crucian carp), 1248 nucleotides long. RefSeq lists it as uncharacterized. NCBI's taxonomy places the organism in Eukaryota, Metazoa, Chordata, Actinopteri, Cypriniformes, Cyprinidae. The record is from RefSeq and is a predicted model, not a curated record. The transcript is spliced from 5 exons.
UAGUAACUGUAACUGUAGUUUUACUAUGGUAUAUUAAUAAUCAAUACAACAAUACAAUAAUCACCAAACCAGCUGUUUGUAUCACUGUAAUGUUAGUGUUUUUAUGUGCUUUUAUAUGACAGAUAUCACAGUAAUCAUAUGUUCUGUACCAUGCUUUUAAUACCUUUUAAUGUAAAUCCCCCCCCCAAAAAAAAAAAUCAAAUUAAAAAUAAAUAAUAAAACAUGCAUUUUUCCAUUUUGCAGUUCAUUCAUAUCAGUUUAUAUUUUAAUAUAUAUUUAUUAUAUCUAAAUAUUUUGCUCACAGAUCAUUAUUAACAUUCUGUAUAUAAUUCAAUUUUAUUUUCUCUCCCCUUUUUUUAUUUUUUUGUAUAUUUUUAGCUGAAAAGACGUAAAGGAUGCCCAGUGGUGUUUCUGGAGAGCUAUUCCUUCAGAAAUGGAGAAGACAGAAAGCUGCGGAGGCAGAUAUUUGCAGCAGUCUGAAAUAUCAAGCUCAACAGCUCACUCAAGAGCCAACCCUCACAAACCUUCCUAAAAACUAAAAGAGCUAUUACUGAGUCUCAGCGAAUCUUGCCAUGAUCAGCUCUUCCCAGAAGAGAAGGAAGACCAAGGAAAUGAUUUGCUCAGGAUGAGAAAUGAAGAUGGCCAUCUUGUGCUCAAACAAACAGAAGUCCUCUGAUGAUCUCAUCAGCCAAAUGAGGGGUUUUGACCAAGUGAUGCUCUUGAAAGGAGUGAAAGAAGAGGAUGUGGUAAAUUGUCUUCAGAGAAAAAGCUUCUCAAAAGGUCUUAAAGCAGCUUGAAGAAUGGUCUGGGAUGUUAGGACUGAGAGAUCCUCUGGCUGAGAACAAGCUACACCACAUCAGUGCUGGACAUCAACCACAAACUGUUUCCAGACACGAGAGAAGAAGAACACGAUGGGGAGAUGAAACCAGUUUAGAUGUGAUGAUGGGAAUCAUUAUUUUCUGGAACAGUAUCACAUGUCUUAUAUGUAUCACAUGAUCUGUAUCACAGUUGACUGGAUGGGACUGUGUGACUUUUAAGGACAUUUCAUCACUCAUCUGUGUGAACUGAUUAAUAUAUGAGGUUAAUGUAUUUUUGAUGAUAAUUAUUUUCAUUGAAUCUUAUUUGUCUUGAUGCUACUUUAUCAUCUUUAUAGUCUAUGCUUCAAUAAAAUGAAAAUGCUGAAUAUUGUGUUCUGAAGAUUCUUGGUAAAUACAUAAUUUUACUAGGUAGGCUCAUAUGUGUUUAUUU